This is a long non-coding RNA of Prionailurus viverrinus (fishing cat), 3014 nucleotides long. RefSeq lists it as uncharacterized. The transcript has 3 exons. NCBI's taxonomy places the organism in Eukaryota, Metazoa, Chordata, Mammalia, Carnivora, Felidae. The record is from RefSeq and is a predicted model, not a curated record.
CCGUGCUCUUGGGGAAGGGCUUGAUGACGGCCGUUUGGUUGGGGUUCUCUUUCUUGUUGAUGUGGAUGGACAGCCGCUGCCACAGGUGCUGCCCCCGGCUGCUCUUCUCGUUCUGGGCCCACGUGACGGAUUUGCCAUUGGAGCUGCGGAGAGAAGGGAGACUAGAGGUGUCUACUGAGUUCUGGAACAUGGCACAGAAGAAAUGGGCCAGACUAUUUAUGGGAUUUGAUUGGGAGGAUGGUUGCCAACAACCCCCUUUCUCUCCUACCAGCAAGGUAAGAAACAUGCAUGUUGGAAAGGAAAAUUAGUCGUUCAGGUUGCUGAGGCCACUUUUAACACAAAGCUUGGGCUAUAAAGUAGAAGCAUAACUGGAUUUAUCCUACUAAGCUUUACUCUAGGAAAGUUCUUGCUCCCAACAUGGAGAGGUUUUGAUGGAACAUAACUCUGGGUAUUAACAGUGUCAGUCUUUGGAAUCACAUGCAGUAGAGCCUAAAAACUUGACAGCAGGUGGAAAAGCCUUUGGAUGAAUGUGUGAGAAGGAAACUAUCCUAACCAGCCAAUCUGCACAAAAUACUGACAUUUUUCCUGGCCAUGCCUUUGCUCAUGGUGUCCAUGGUCAUUUGGGAGAGAGAGCGCCAAAUAAUCUGAAUACCAAUGGAAAUGGACACAGGAGACACCGGAGAAAUGGAGUCCAAAUAAUUGACUGUUGGGAAAACAUCCAUGAUGGCAGGUGGAGAAUAGAAGACAAAAAGCAAACAAAAAAAAGGGACUUUCUAAGUAGCCUUGGGUACUUAGAAAUACUAAAUAAAAUCUUUUGAAUGCUUUCUGUGUGCCACACAGUCUGCUAAGUGUUGUGCUUGCAUUAUCUCAUUUAAUUUUCACAGGAUUAUAUAAUAAGGGGAGUGCUAUAUUAUUAUCUUCAUUUUAUAGAAAAUAGAGAUUAAGGAAGUAAAAUGGCACCUCCAGGUCACACUGACUAGUGCCGGAACCAGGUUUUAAGGUCUUUGAUUUCAGAAUUUUCGCUAAAACUUUUUAAUAUUAGGUUAUUGGAUAUCCCUGGACCUCAUUUUCCUCAUCUGUACUAUGGAAAGGUCAUUCUUGGGAGUGCAUAACCAAUGAGAAGGUACUGCUACAGUGUCUGAUGUAUAAUAAUUACAGCAACGGUAGUAACUGAUACUGUUACCUGUUUUAGAAUGUCUCUAUAAGUUGGAACAUUAAUUUGAAACUGACUUUGAGGAGGAAUGAAGAGAAGACUACUGCAGCAUUCCUAUCAUUAUGAAACUAGCUGGCUUCAUAGUAGAAAGAAAGAACGUUGCUCUUCUGUGGCUCUGAAUUUUGUAUAACUGUGUGUAGUCCUUUUCAACACUCAAUUCAGGUUAAUAUUAUUUUGUUUAUUUUACUCCUAAUUCUCUCUGCACUGGCAUAAGCUGUACUUUCUGAUAUUAAAUGAGGAUUUAAUUAGACACAUACAUGUUCCUGUGGGACAGGGGUUACUGCUGCAUUGCAAUUAUCUUUUCUGAUGUUGUUCCCCCAUGGACUAUAGAUUUGCAAGGGCAUUAGUCAAGUCUUGGUCAUCUAUUUAUCUCCAGAGUCCUGUAAGUGCUUGGCUUAUGGUAGGUGCUUAAUGAGUGAGCAUAACACUAAGGAAGAAAUCACUGAAUUAAUGAAAGGCGAAACAAUUUUAACACAGACAUCACAAUUUGGGAUUGCUUUUGAAAUCUGAGUUCCUGGUGAUUAUGACAUCACUGUUACUAGAUUCUCUAAAGGCUCUAGUAGACAUUUAUUAUACCCACUAAAAUUAGAUGCUGCAUCUACUAGGUAAAAAUCAGUGACUCAGGUGGUUGAUAUCAUGACAUUGCAACAGUAAAAAUAACCUCGCACCACCCUCCUCCCUUCAAGCACUGAUGGGACACUGUAGAUCAGUCUAUUUCAUUUGAUUAGGGAGCUCUUUUUCAAAGAGAGACUGAGAGGCUCAGAAUGUCUGUGCCUCCCCCCCUUCAUGGGAUACAUCAUGAGUGCUUCAGAAUGCAGACUCCAGUGAGCACUCUGAUGGAAUGGCCCUGCUGAGACAGGAGAUAAUAACAUUCAUUGUUGAGGUUUUAGCCAUCCCUGAGGUGGACUCUCUCAGUAUGAACUCACAUGAUAACAGGGUUUAGAGAAUUUCUGGUGCUUAGAGCACCUCCCUGUUUAGGACUCUCUUUCACUUCUCCUGCAAUCAGGAGUUCUCUGAUCUGAAACACACUUAGACUGUCCACUGUGAAAAUAUGAAAAGAUGACAAGUUAUGCUAGAUUCAGAUGGAAAGAAAAAAUAAAUUCACAUAAAAGGAAAACAACAUAAUAUUUCAGGAAGCUAGUGUGCUAUGGAUGCAUAUAAUGUUCUUAGUCUUUUCCAAAUGUGGGGGUGGAGGGAAAAGGGGGAAGUGACGGACUAUCUCUAAGGCCCUGUCAUUGUUUCAGGGAAGAUAAUAGUGUUCAGCUCUAGGGCUACAUGUACUGUAAAACUCUUUCCCUGCUGGUUACUUGGCUCUGGAAGAAGAGUUCAGGCAUGAAUUCACCAGGUCCUGUCCUGUUCAUAGCUUCAACAUAGAAAACAGAGGCAAAUAAGGUGCAGGGACACACUCCUCUGGUUUUCUGUGGUGGUUUGAGCUUCCCUCAGCACCCCCCUGCCAGGGCUGGUUGGUUGGUUAUGGCCAGAGAUCCAGCCCAGAUCUUUGCAGAGUGAAUGUGCUUGACUAUGACCCUGGGAAGCAAUUGGGGGAAGGAGUGGGAGCAGACAAGAAAAAGGACCUCAUCAGUGGAUGUUAAAAGUAUCUGUAAAAGUUGAUUAGGUUUUCUUUCCCAGCCCUUCCAUUCAAUUCCAGAGGGAGAAAACUGGGAUUAACUACUCUAACCUCUUAUUUAGAAACAGUUUACACUGCAGUUGUCUCCUCUCUGAUACCUUUUCUCUUAAUAUUCAUUUUAAACUUAUUUCUCCUGGGGUGCCCGGGUGGCUCAGUUGGUUAAGCAUCUGACUC